CCGCCGGCGACCGGCGCACGGGUGAGUAACACGUAUGCAACCUGGCCGUGACAGAUGGAUAACCGGGAGAAAUCCCGCCUAAUACGACAUAAUGCCGGGAGGGGACAUCCCCUGCCGGCCAAAGGGGGCGACCCCGGUCACGGAUGGGCAUGCGGCGCAUUAGGUAGUUGGUGGGGCAACGGCCCACCAAGCCGACGAUGCGUAGGGGUUCUGAGAGGAAGGUCCCCCACAUUGGAACUGAGACACGGUCCAAACUCCUACGGAAGGCAGCAG
RNAcentral lists this ribosomal RNA (273 nucleotides) under uncultured bacterium. Its description in RNAcentral is "partial 16S ribosomal RNA". It matches the Rfam family "Bacterial small subunit ribosomal RNA", at positions 85 to 354 of the family's 1533-position model. The record is from RNAcentral.